This 217-nucleotide long non-coding RNA is filed under the name Elaeis guineensis (African oil palm). RNAcentral's name for it is "long non-coding RNA (EGUI_LNC037282)". The record is from RNAcentral. Lineage: Eukaryota; Viridiplantae; Streptophyta; Magnoliopsida; Arecales; Arecaceae.
CAACUCCGACGAUACACCGACUGAACAUGCGGUUCCGACUCUUUAUUGACCGACUGAACAAAUCGCACCGACUUACAAUCGGUUGACCGAUUAAUAUUCGACUAGUGCCGAUCAACAGCGGACGAUUUGAACCAUCGGUAUAACUGAACUACUAGCCGACGAUCACUCAUAGAUCCUACCGACAUAUGGUCGAUUAAUCUGCUCAACAUAUCAUAAC